GGGACCUGCAGGUUUGCUCCUUGACAGAUGAAGACAUCCAGACGGCAGCAAAACAUGCAGCAGCUGCCUUCCCCACACCAGCUCAAGUGUCAGAGCCGCCCUGUGGAAGACUGACUAUAUCUGGAAUAAAGAAAGGGACCAUGCUGGGAAGUUUUGGGCAGAGGUCAGCGCAGAAGUACUGGUCAAGGAAGAAGAACGCUUCCACCACUUGCGGAAGAGCACGGCGAGAGGUGACUUUUCAUUCUUGGCAAUGGAGACAAGUAAGAAGAAUGGAGGCUGUGUUUGGAAGGCCAAUUCACAGUUGAUCAGACAUAAACACUCCAUGGUCUUGGCCAUGCAAUGGCUAGAAAAGAAGAAGAAAGUUGGACCAGAAAAGGCUGGAACCACAGCAAUAACAGUACUGAGAGUGCAGAACUCCUAUAUUUCACAUAUCAGUUUUGGUGUCAGUUGUUAUCCCUUCUUCACAAUUACAGCUUGAGAGCCCUGAUUCAUGAAACUAAAA
Long non-coding RNA from Electrophorus electricus (electric eel), 502 nucleotides. RefSeq lists it as uncharacterized. NCBI's taxonomy places the organism in Eukaryota, Metazoa, Chordata, Actinopteri, Gymnotiformes, Gymnotidae. The record is from RefSeq and is a predicted model, not a curated record.